This 343-nucleotide unclassified non-coding RNA is filed under the name soil metagenome. Its description in RNAcentral is "partial contains 5.8S ribosomal RNA, internal transcribed spacer 2, and large subunit ribosomal RNA". The stretch from base 1 to 119 matches the Rfam family "5.8S ribosomal RNA", at positions 35 to 154 of the family's 154-position model. The record is from RNAcentral.
GAUGAAGAACGCAGCGAAAUGCGAUACGUAAUGUGAAUUGCAAAUUCAGUGAAUCAUCGAGUCUUUGAACGCACAUUGCGCCCCCUGGUAUUCCGGGGGGCAUGCCUGUCCGAGCGUCAUUGCUGCCUCAAGCACGGCUUGUGUGUUGGGCCCCGUCCUCCGAUCCCGGGGGACGGGCCCGAAAGGCAGCGGCGGCACCGCGUCCGGUCCUCGAGCGUAUGGGGCUUUGUCACCCGCUCUGUAGGCCCGGCCGGCGCUUGCCGAUCAACCCAAAUUUUUAUCCAGGUUGACCUCGGAUCAGGUAGGGAUACCCGCUGAACUUAAGCAUAUCAAUAAGCGGAGA